CAGAAACCUAAAGACAGCAGCAGCUGGAUGAAGAGAGAUCACCAGGGAGCUGGACGUUUCUGGAAGGUGAGCGUCAGCUGGAGAACGCCGCACAUUGGCCCUAAGUGUCUCGUUAAAGGACUCUUCAGCGAGGUUGAAGUGUCUGCAACAGUUUCUACCCAUCUGUAAAGAAAUGCACUCCCGGUCGUUGGACACUAGAGGCAUCAUCUGUGUGUUUACAGAUCUGCAGACACCAGUCACAUAUGUAAGUGGAAACGAGGCGUUAGGGGAAAUGUAUCAGAGUAAAAGUAUACAUUUUAUUUUUGAGAUGUAGUGGAGUAACAGUGGAAGCUGACAGAAAUCUCAAGUAAAACUCAAGUAAAGUACAGAUAGAAGUGAAGAGCAUAAUAUUUCCCUCUGAAAUGAAGUCGAGUAAAAGUAGAAAGUGGCUUGAAAAGAAAAUACUCAAGUAAAUGUGUUUAGUUACAUUCCACCAUUGCACGCCCGCCUUGUGCCUGUACACUUUUUUUACAUGGAUGUUCCAGUUAGGGAGAAAUAUUUUUAGUGAAAUGAUUAAACUCGUUUGUAGAAGAAAAACAUAUCAGACACAAUAUGUUAUUGAAUACGUCUUAUAAUACGUCUGCAUGGGGUCUUUUUUUGUUUGUCGGCUCUGUUACGCUCCAUUUGGCGUCUUCAGAUCCAAACGAGUCCACGUAUAGUAAACUCUAUCUACAUACACAAUAUUUGAAUGUUUCUUUGUGGUAUUAUUGGGUUUGUUCUUAUCUAAACAUCACCCAUCUGCUUUGUCUGCUGCUGUAAAUGAUGCUCAGUGUCUCAGAGCUGCAGUUUAAUGUGUCUUAAAUCUCAUCUGUUGUCUAUGUGCAGGGAAAACAACACAAUAUGUCACAACUGAUAAAUGAAAGGAUUAUGGUUUAGAUGUAAACAAAGAGAUGCUGGGUGUGAAAGGGACGAGAACAGUGAGUAAAAAUGAGACGGUUAUAAUCAGCUCUGCCUCAUGUGGACAUUCAGGUUUUUUAAAGCCGAGCGAGUUCCCCUCAUAAAGUCAAAUUUAUGUCCACAGCUCGGGUGUUGUCUGGGGCCCCCACAAAAGGCCAGCCUGUGCUUGGCCCGGCCCAUAAAUCCUAACUUUUCAAUUUUUGAAUGGACCUCUGUGCGGGGCCCCGGAGCCCCUGUCUGCAAGGCCCCAAAUUACAGAACCUCCACAAGCGGUCCAGUAGGAAAACAACUGUGAGGUUUAUCACGUAAUUCCAAGAACAGGGGAGCCUUCGCACUGCGGGGCCACGGAGGACACGCAUCUGAGUUUAUUUGGUAUUUUAGUGUAUUUGCUGAAUAUAUGGCUGCAUAUAUAUAUUUAAAAGGUUUGAAAAUCCACAGCAAUUGCAUGUCUCAGAGUGCACGGCUGCUUCAUUCGAUCUGUCCCUGUGGGAUAGCUCGCAUGUGUGUGGGUCUCUGUGGAAUAGCUAAUGCAUUGUAUAUAUACAUGUCUGUGUGUGUGUCUGUGUGCUAGAAUAUUUAUCAAAGGACAACUGCGUGGACUAAAAGCAUCAAAUAAGCAAAGGCCGCAUGCUUUUACACGCAAGCACUGUACUGUUCUUAUAUUGGUCCCAUUGAUUCCCGUCCUCUGCACCACGCUGGAGGCCAGCGCAGACGACAGAGACGGGGCCAAGUGGAAGAUUAUUCAGAAUAACAUAUAGCGCUCUGUGGGUCCAGAUAAAAGUGAGUGACAGCAUCAGAACAAAUGGUGAUGAAAUGCUUGCAUCACGGCGAGCUGAUAGCCGUCUCUAUACUCGGUAUCCUCUCUUCUUACAUGUAUGAUUUAUAUGGACGCAUGGAGGAUUUCUUCAAAGCUCUCACAUGUUUAUGACUCCAUAACAUCUGACGCAUUCCUGUUUACGCUCCCAAGCCACAUUUGACAUUUUCUGGAUAUGAUGAAUCAUUAAUGAUGACCUCAAUAGGCUUUCACAUCUUUGGCCCACAGAUCAAUAAAGUGGUUAGGGGAGUAGGUCAGCAGCUCUCCAGAGGUGUCUGUCAGUGUUCGUGUGUUCGUGUGUGUGUCUUUGAGUGUGCCUCCAAACAGUCACACCCAGCAAGCGACUGUAAAAUGUUGGUGCUAAUUGGCGGCCAAGCGCUGCCCCGUCUCCAGCGCGACGCUCCGGGGCUGGCAGAAUUGCGGCUGGUUUUUCCAAGUUUUUUCCAAGCAGUCCCUGCCUGCGAGGCUGUGGGAGUUCCAUCCAUUAUUGAUCAGAUCCAAGGAUGAAAGCAGGAACGCUCAGUGGGGACUGAGCAUCUUUGGCCCCACACAGGAAAAUAAAAAAAAACACAAAACCAGCCUUGACCACCGACUCUGUGUGAACAGAGACGAGGAAAUAUCUUUUUUAUUUCACAUCAGAGUCAGCCUGAGAACCAAACUGUCUGGAAAGUAAAUAAGCCGAAUUUAUGUAAAAGGAACUCGAGGCGUCAUGUGCUGUGAAUCUUUACUCAUCCCUAACAUUUAGAAGCCGAAUCCUCACUGAGAUUUUUUGUACCCAGAUGAUGACAUUGUGUUACGCACUGCUUUGCCAGCCUUGGCAGCCGCUCGGCUCGGUGCUGUUCAAUGAUUCAGCUGUGUAGAAUUGACCUCCACCUCACCUUGGCAAUCCUCCCCGACCAAAUGGACGUUUGGCAGCCAGAACACACACUGGAUAUACAAGCAUGUGUGUACGCCAGUGAUAACACACACCGACUCGCAGAAACACACAGACACACACACACACUCUGGGAAAGGUUACAAUGAUGCUUGAAACAAAGGGGCAGAU
This is a long non-coding RNA of Epinephelus fuscoguttatus (brown-marbled grouper), 2795 nucleotides long. RefSeq lists it as uncharacterized. The transcript is spliced from 3 exons. Lineage: Eukaryota; Metazoa; Chordata; Actinopteri; Perciformes; Serranidae. The record is from RefSeq and is a predicted model, not a curated record.